This 346-nucleotide RNase P RNA is filed under the name Oscillospiraceae bacterium. RNAcentral describes it as "RNase P RNA component class A". It matches the Rfam family "Bacterial RNase P class A". From Rfam's summary of the family: Ribonuclease P (RNase P) is a ubiquitous endoribonuclease, found in archaea, bacteria and eukarya as well as chloroplasts and mitochondria. Its best characterised activity is the generation of mature 5'-ends of tRNAs by cleaving the 5'-leader elements of precursor-tRNAs. Lineage: Bacteria; Bacillati; Bacillota; Clostridia; Eubacteriales; Oscillospiraceae. The record is from RNAcentral.
CGACCGGGUCGGACAGUCGCGCGGGAACGGCGAAAGCUGCCCUGUGAGGAAAGUCCGGGCUCCAUAGGGCAAGGAUAACGGGUAACGCCCGCCGGGGGUGACCCCAGGACAAGUGCAACAGAGAGAUACCGCCUUAUUUUUUUGAGGUAAGGGUGAAAAGGCGCGGUAAGAGCGCACCCGCUUCAUGGGAACAUCGAAGCGCUGUAAACUCUAUCCGGAGCAACACCGCAGAGGAGGCAAGGCUUGCCCGGCUGUCUCCGAGAAGGUGGCUGGAACCUGUGAGCAAUUGCAGGUCUAGAUAGAUGACUGUCAGAACAGAACCCGGCUUACGGACCCGCAUCGCGCA